GAUGAACGCUGACAGAAUGCUUAACACAUGCAAGUCUUUAGCGAAGCUGUGCUUGCACCGCCUAGCCAAGGCGGACGGGUGAGUAACGCGUAAGGAACUUGCCCUGCAGUCAGGGAUAACAGACGGAAACGACUGAUAAGACCUGGUAAAGUCAGGCGGACUCAUGUCCAGCCUGAUGAAAAGUGAUGCUGCAGGAGAGCCUUGCGUCCUAUUAGCUUGUUGGUGGGGUAACGGCCCACCAAGGCGAUGAUAGGUAGCCGGCCUGAGAGGGUGGACGGCCACAAGGGGACUGAGAUACGGCCCUUACUCCUACGGGAGGCAGCAGUGGGGAAUAUUGGACAAUGGGGGCAACCCUGAUCCAGCAAUUCUGUGUGCACGAUGAAGGUUUUCGGAUUGUAAAGUGCUUUCAGCAGGGAAGAAAAAAAUGACGGUACCUGCAGAAGAAGCGACGGCUAAAUACGUG
Molecule: ribosomal RNA, 463 nt
Filed under: uncultured bacterium
Lineage: Bacteria
Description: partial 16S ribosomal RNA
Rfam family: Bacterial small subunit ribosomal RNA
Source: RNAcentral